This is a long non-coding RNA of Coregonus clupeaformis (lake whitefish), 533 nucleotides long. RefSeq lists it as uncharacterized. The record is from RefSeq and is a predicted model, not a curated record. Lineage: Eukaryota; Metazoa; Chordata; Actinopteri; Salmoniformes; Salmonidae. The transcript has 3 exons.
CGGUGGCAGAGGGACUGCAGUCGGGUAUCGCCUCGGAAGACUGUGCGAUGGAAAUAACAGACAGGACCUCAUCCAUAUGCCCCUGUACCCCGAUGUGGGAGCGAGCCAUGGAUCAUCAGGAUCAUAUGAUAGAAGAGCAAGCAGAGAUCAUCACUUAAGACACAGAGGAGAUGUGCCUGUCUCAGAUCCUUAUCCAUCACGACACUCCAAUGUAUGAGUCAGUGCCACCCUGGGCAAGGAGGCCUGCUGGUGCGGAGGAGAUGGUGGCUGUCCAGAGGACACUCCUUGUGGAAGUCACGGGCCUGCGCAGGAGGAGCUGAUCUGCUGAAUGCAGAUAGAGAGACAUUAGCCCUGGAGAAGGAGAAGUUUGCCAUGGAGAAGCGAAGAAGACUUGAAGAUGGAUAUCCUAAAAUAAAUCUGGUUCGAUAUCAUACAGACCUCCUUUUUGUCAUGUGAAUUUCCUCCUUAUGAGGUUAUUCCUUGCUUGUUGGCCAGCAUUGUAUCUACCAUCGGCAUUGUGGUCAGCGGCAACA